CAUCGAACGAUAGCUGCUGGGAGGACCACGUUGUUGGUCAGAACGCGGGCUUAUAGCCUGGCUCUUCUGCCCUGGGUGCGGUUCUUGGUUUACCAGUGGGGACACAGGCUGAGAAGUGACUGGCCAACCCAUCAGUCCCAUCUCCACGCACAAGCCAGCUUACUCCUUGGUAACGUUCUUUUCUGCUUGAGUCACUGGAAGGCGAAGGAGCUGAAAGCCCCUAUCUGGGCUCUGAUAAAGGUGGGAAUGGGCCUCAGGGGGUCUCCAAAGGGGCCUCCCUAUUCUGCGUGGUGUUCGUGAGUAAAGGCCCUUCAAUUGUUUCGUGUCUUCCUAGUCUUGGGUCUCUACCAGCUCCUGCUUUUCCAUGGAGGACCCUACAGGCCGAACGCCCGCGGUAGUCCUCACUUCCAGGCGAGUCUGAGGACGCGAGAAAGAGCCUUCUGCUAGCGCCUGGUGAAAUCGAUCUACCUCCACCUUCGCACGCAGGGUCACCUCAUUAGUGCCGCGAGCACACCCGCCGGGUCUUUUGGUCGCGCCGGACUCCGUUUCCUAUCGCGGGGCACUUUGGGAUUCGUAGCCCGUGAAUUUGAGACGGACGCACACCAUUGGUUCGUGAGGCCGUCACGUGAUGUUUGGGUGCCCGGCCCGCCCGGCAUCGCCCUCCCACAGCGAGCUGAAGAGCGCAACCUAGAGUCAGUGCAGCAGCGCUGUGGAUGGUCUCACACUUUUACAGUGAAGAGGUCCUUCCUAAGGCAUUGGAACCAAAGAGGGACCUGACUGAAUGUGAAGUUUGCUCUUGCCAGAUCCAGCUCUCACCUCUUCAUAUGCCAACAGGCUACCGCACAGAACCUGAGCUUUUGAGCAUUCAAAGGACCUACUCAACACAGUCAUCCCUUGGUGCUCAUAGGGGAUCGGGUCCAGAAUCACCUCUGAAUGCAAAAGCCCAUAAUACACCAUCAUAUAAAAGCAUUUGCAUAUAACCUAUGUGACACAUAUACAACUUAAAGAAGAAAGAGUUUAUUUUGAUUCUUGGUUUCAAAGGUUUCAGUCCAUGGUUAGUUGGCACAGAGGCAGACAUGUGGUGGAAGAAGCUCCUCAAUUCAUGGCAUCCAGGAAGCAGGCAGCAGUGGAAGAGACAGAGAAGGCGCCAGAGACUACAUACAAUUCCUGAGGUCAUACCCGUGUGACCCACCCACACACCAAAAAGUGUGCUUUUACUAAUAUUUUGGUGCCUCAGUUCCUAAGGAUGUGAGGCUUGUGGCCCUCCUGGUGGCUUUUUGAAGCUCUUUUAGCAACUUUUCCUGCUUCUCUGGAGCUUUUCAAAGAUCACUGCAGGUCUCUGCUGGACAUUGCCAAUGUUUGCCAGUCUCCUCUGGUCUCCAUACAUUACCACCAAUCUCUACUACUCCCUGGAGCUCUUCAGGCUAAUGGCCUUUAAUAUUAUCAGCUUUUUUAGUACAAUCCACACAGCCCACUGGACCUGAGUUAAGAAUCUCACAAAGGCAAUGGAACCACCCAAGUGAGACUUUCACGGGGGGCCUGUCCUGGAGCAUGUGGGUAGGUAGUACACCUAGCCUGCCCGAAAGAGUGUAGUGGAAUGCUGUUUAUAUAGAAGAGUAGGAGUGGGCAAAUACAUGCAGUUUCCUGCAUUUUGAGGAUCUUUUGGGGUCUUUUCAGAGACACUCACAAUGCCUGCAGAGUAGUCAUCCUGGACAAGCAAAUAUCUCCUGGAGCAACUAUGGAGCAUCUAGGACAGCUUCAGCUGUCAUGGCAACAGCACAGAAAACUUCAUGUGAAGCUUCUGGUUGGCAGAUCCUGUGUCUCUGUUACGAUGAUGGUGCUGAAAUUGUUACUAUCACUGCUUUCAUGGAGUCUCUCUUGGAGGAUAACUAUACUCAUUGGGAUUUUUGGAAAUAUCAGCAUUAGGCUGUAAGUCCUGCCAUGAUUUUUUGCUGUUAGUGGUGGUUUCUCAGGGUUUCUCAGAAAGGAAGAAGCAGCACCUGUGUAGCCUUGAGUGGGGCAGGGGUCACAGCUGUUGACCAAUCUGCACCUCCUAUCAGUGCAGCCCAGAAGACAGCCACUGAAGCAAACACAGAGGUAGUUGGAAGGCGCUGGGGCUGCUUUCCCAAGCCACCCUUGUGGAGGUGAGGGGGAAAAAGGAGGAGAGACUUGACAGCCAAGUCAGAUCACACCCUGUCUGGCUGACCAAGGGAAAGGAGAAGGGUUUGGCCUCAUUGUUUUGUAUCUCACUCUCAUGGUGUUAUAAGAUAACUCAUGAACCAGUGUUCACGGUGCUGGGAACAUGCAGGAUGUGAAGAGGGCUCAGUGGCAGGAGUAAGACUGGCUACAUGUUUGUGGCUCCCUGAGGGAAUGACAUUGUGGCUCCAUGGUGAUUGGAGGUAUAGGGUAGCACUGCCAGUGUGGGGAAUAAUGGAUGGAGGAGAGAGGUCUUGAGUCACAGCUGGCUAAGUGUGAGGACAUCACUGCCUAAGUGGUAAGUUAGAUCAGCCUUUGGUGCAUAGGGACAAAGAGCCUACAGUCCUUCCAUGGUUCAGCAAGAAUAUGGGAUUAAGUACCACUGAGCAUGUCUCUUAGCAGCUAAUUACAUCCUGCCCCAUCUCUGGGGAAUGGUAGUGAGGACAAGUGACAUCACAGCUACUACUAUCACCAAAUGUGGGCUACUAGAGUACAACUGACCUCUUGUCCAGUGCUUGCUGCUCCUACAAAGGAGACAUGGAGUCCUUGUUCUCAGACUCCAGAGCAUGAAAUCAGCCCCAAUUCAGUGUGCCCAUGCCCUAGCCCUCCUUUCUGAGUUGGAGUUGGCCUAAUGUGCCAUGGAACAUACAUGAUCCCAAACAUGGGAAAUCAGCACAGCCUCAAAGAGGUAUACACAGGAAUGUGUGCCAGGGAAGUGCUCUCUGGGAAGAAAUUAUGUCUGAUGGCUCAUUGUGAUGAACUUUAGAGCAGAAGGUGUUUGGCCCUCCCAGCUCCUUUUUCAUGUGUGGUACCUCUCUGGACAGCAACAUAGGCUACAGAGAGCUGCUGGUCCAGUAGGGAGACUAGUAGCUUCAAGAACCAUGGAAAUCCUAUCUCAUGGCUUAUGCAGCAGCCUAAUCUAGUUCCUACUUUUCAUGGGAGUGGUGCUAGUGGAUUGGUGUGCCCAGAAACUUCCAGGCAGGGAGUGUGUAGUCUGUGUCCUGAGAGGCCUGUCCCCAUGCUGAUCCAAAGCACUAAGAGUAGCAUGAUUUCCUUGCUUCCAAUUCCAUGUGGCCAGAUGUAGGAGGGUGGGCUUUGAUGGUUAGUGGUGCUCACAUCAAACCUGAGCAGGUAGGACUAGACUCAGGGCACACUUGUCUGAUCCCUUACUUGGAGAGUCCUGUGGUGACACUUAGAGCCACUUAGAGCAGUAGUGGCAAACCUAUCACUGUCCUAGAGGGUCAUAUUUUUAUCCUUCUGGGUGCAGUGGUGAACAUUCCAGUGGGGGGGUAUUAGGGAGGACAAGCAGACUGAUGGUAGGAUGUAGUGUGGGUACAGAUGCACUAGCUUGGCCUUGAAGCCAAGUUCACCACUUAUGUUAUUUGCAACAAGCCAGUUAGGACUUGGUUCCUAAGCCAUGAAACAGGCUUCUGAUGCUUACAUUGUCAGGUUGGAUUGUGCCAGAGCAGGUCCUGGCUCCUGUGAGCUAUAUUGUCCAUGUCUGUGAGAUCGUAGGGUCUGGUGUCUAUAGGGUGCUGGCUGAGGGAGUGGGUAGUGAUGAUGCAUGGAGAAGGUGGAGAAUGUGGCCUUGCCUGAGGUGAAGAGGGGUGCAAAGUACCAGGACUAGUGCCCCUAUUUACUGAAGGAAGGCUAGGCCUUGGCAUCCUUAAGCCUUCCUUCUGUUUGCAGCAGGAGAACCUUCAGCUGGAAUAUUUGAAAACUCAACUUUCAGAUGCCAUUCAGUGAUAAGGAGUUGUCCAGAAGGUGCUGGGGUGCUGAGGUGGCCCUGACACAUGCCUCUGGGACCACACAUACCCAUGGGACCACCAAUACAUGCUGGAGGGUCCCACAGAGCACAGCAACAAGGAGGAUCUAAGGAUGUGAUAGCUCCAACUGAGCGAGUGCUGAAGACUCCUGUUGUCAGCGUAGAGUUCAAAUUGGGUUAGUAACCAGAGCUGAGUCUCUAAUUUAAUGACUGGCAGAGUAAGCCCAAGGCUUCUGGAAAUAUCCACAGCCCUCACUAGGCCUAAGGCAAGAGUUGAGAGGUCAAGUGACCCCGUAAAGAUCAGACCCUUGGGUCUGCUACUGCCACCAGAAGCUAUGUAGGACCCAGUUGGGAUGAAGCUUUGUGUUAAGGAUGUGUGGUACUGACCCACAUGCAGUGAAAAUCACAGAUGAGGGAAAGUACACCCACUGCUCCUCAGACCUGGGUCAGGAAUCCUGAGAAAGGAGGGUAAGAGGCCAGUGGGUGGGAUGUUUUCUAAGCCAGGAACCUGACAGGCCAGUCAUGCCUCCAUCUGAGCCCAUCAGUCCCCACUCAUAAAUCACUACCUGCCAGGCAUAGCCAGGCCCCAAACUAGCAACAAUCGAAUAGCUUUUCCUAACAAAUGGAGUAGGCCCACGAAAGGGUCCUGAGUCUUCUCUGUGGACCCUAAAUGCCAAGGAAGGGCAGUGAGGGAGCAGAAGCCCAUAGACCAGGAGCAAGGGAUAUUCACAUUCAGAUGGGGACAAACAAGGUAUGUGAACUUGUCGGGAUGAGUCCUUGUUGCCGUAAAGGCUGGGGGACUUGAUUCAUGGAUGUGGAGAUGGUUGUGCCCAAGGAAGGCCUGUGUGACAACAGGCAGAUCAGAUUGUUUUGAGUGUCAUGCCAUAUCCUGAGACACAUCAGCAGGUCCACCAUCACUGUCCCUGGGAUUUGUACAACAACAGGUUGGAGAUGAUGAGUGAUGGAAAGACUCAACAGGAUUGGUGGCCACAAUCACUGAGCAGGAAAUGGAUGCAGUGCUGCAAGCCAUCCAGGUGGAAGGGCUGGUGUUACAGAAGCCCAUAUGGAAGGACCCGCCUCUCUUGAGGAGGUCUAAGGACCAGGGUAUAGAAGGGAACCAGUGUUCACAAAACAGGAUGGGUCUAACCAUGAAGUAGGUGUUCAGGGCAGGAACUAGGUAAGGAGGUAUCCUAGUCCUAGUCAUCAGGCAAAGAACUCAGUGUGGGGCCUGGCAGUGGUUUCGAGAGUGGCUGGACUUGAUGAGGGGAGUAGUCUGGGGCUGCCAGGAAAAACAUAGAUGACCCAGUUCUGUAUGAAUUGUAAAUAAGCAACAAGUGACUGUUUAAUAUAAGCAUGCCUUAGAUAUUACAUGAGACAUAUGUGUACUAAAACACCCCUUUGACUGUAUCUGAAAUUCAAGGUUAACUGGCCAUUUUAUGUGUAUGUUGUAGCCUAGGCUCAAGGGAAAUGGGCUAGAAGCUUUGUUCUAGUCCAUCAGUGGGCUAAAGAGAAGGAGAGAAGGUAGUCUUGACCUGAGAAUUGAAGCAUGAGACAGUUCUCCUGCCUAUCAGGUAAAUUCCAAGGAGGCCCUGAGAGGUUCCCACCACAACCUGUCUAGGGAUGGCCAAAACCUGAGUGGGCAGGAUGGAGAUAUAUGCUCAUACCCUCAUCUUUAUGGAGUCCAUUGAUGAUUACAGUCUCUGAACACUAUCUGAAUAGCCAAGCUUGUCUGUGACCAGUCCCCCAGGAAGAAAGGUUGGAGAUCCCAAUCCCCAGCCUACCUACCCUGUACCUCUCUAAAGCCCUGUGGCUGCAGCCUUGUGAGCUUGGGCAUGCUCUGCAUUGCCCCAGAUCCUAUCUGGCCAGUGCAGUGCUUCAGGGAAUAGAGCACUGGUGACUGUGAGCCCUGGCCAUAUCUUCUGGGAAUCCUAGGAAGUGUAGGUCUCCAACGCAGGACCUGAGGAGGGCUGUGGAGAGAGCUGAGGCUGGCAUUGACUAGCUCAGGUGUUUGGGGGUCUGGCAUGCUGUGGUCCCUAGGAUGUUAAGAACUACCUUGCCAUGGGGUUCUUAGAGAAUCUCAGAGUUUCCAAUCUCAUUUUCAUUAGCAAAUUAGUGUAAGUUAAUCAAAAACCCUAGAACAGGCAGAUAGGUAAAAAUAAGCAAGAAAACACCAUCCAUGGCCCCAGGGCACCAGGGUCUGAGGACCCCAACAGUCAGAGACAAGGGCAUCUCAUGUCCUGGAUUAUGAUAAUCAAGGGAGGUGGGACCUCUCACUGGCCACUGUCCCACUGAACGAGUCAUUCAGCUCAGCACAUCUCAUAUGCAAGCUCAUGUGUGGGUGCAUCAUCUUUUUAACAGAGCAUGAGUGUCUUAUUUCAUGGAUGUUUUAUAGGAAAGCUAGGACUGGAAAUUCCCUGUCCCUGAAUUUCUGACAUGAAAAUUGUGCUCCCGAGGAAUGCACCAGCCUGUAGACUAUAAUGGGAAAAGUCUGCUGAUGAAUUUGAUGUGGUGAUCUCUUUUUUUAAAAUUUAAAAACCAAACCAAACCAAACAAAAAAAGGAUAAAAACAAUACAGAAUUUCAAAAAAAUAGGAAAUUAAUGCUAAUUAAUAUAUUGUAUAUUGUUAUUUUGGAAGUAGUUGUUUGAAUUGCAAGACUUAGGCAAGAAAAAAUGAUAAAACAAUCCAACAAUGAAAAUACAAACUAUUCUUUUUGAUGAACUUGCAGAGAUUAGUAGCACAGUUAUCUAUCUUGUGUGUGUGUAUAAAUAUAUAUAUACACACAUAUGUAUAUGUAUACCUAUAUACAUAUAGUCUUUUCCCUUCUUCCUUUUCUCCAUUCCCCCAUUCCAGUUGUUCUUUCCUUUUGAGCAUUUCAUUUCCCCUUCAUUUUACAAUAUCUAUUGUACAUUUUCAGUCUUCUUUACUCUUUUUUUUUAAUUUACACCAGAGAGACAAUACAAUAUUUAUACACGCGACUCAUUUAUUUCAUUUAUGAAUAUGGUCUAUAGUUGCAUCCAUUUACCUAUAAAGCCUCAAGUUUAUCCUUCUUUUAUAGCUGAGUAAUACUCCAUCGAGUAAAAAUACCACAUCUUUUUUAUCCAUUCUGUAAUUGAUGGGCAUUUGGAUUGUUUCCGAGAUUUCUUCCUAGGAGAGCAGAGGGAGGAACUAAGGAGGUCUUAUCAUUGUCUUUAUUAUCUUCUUUUUUAAAGACAAUAAGGUUGGAGACCAAUAGGGCAAAAAAGGGUUUAAUAAUGCCAUGUAGAUAUUUGAUAAUGGUAGCAUUUAAUAAGGCCAGCAUGGGACAUGUGUGGAUAUGGAGUGACUUUUCUAGACUUGUUUAAAAUAUUUUACAGGACAUUUUAAAUUGCUCUGGUCCUGUUUUCCCUAAUGAUGUGGCCACACCCACACAUGUUUUAGUUGGGGUGGGAGAGACCAUUCAUUUUACAGAAACCAGAUGGGCAGUACCAUUUGUCUGUGGCAUCCUGCACUGGCUGGGCAGGUGGACUGUCCCCUGCCAGCAGCUGUGAAUCUGUGGGGAUGGGGCUGUGGUUCUGCUCGACUUGGAUUAUAUAUCAUGCCAUGUGGUAAAUGCUUGUGGGUAGGGUUGCUAGGUUUAGCAAAUAAAAACAGGACACCCUGGUAAAUCUGAUUUCAAAAAACAGAUUUUUAGUAAAAGAAUGCUUGUGGAUCAUUAGGGGCACAACUAUAUGAGAGUAUUAUUUGUCAGAACAGGGGUGUGAUGGGUCCCAGGGAGAGAUGGCUGUGAAAGGCAAUGGUCCACAGGCUCUGGCAGCAGCCCUGUGUGCUUUCCCCUCUCUCUGGUGAGAUGCCUGUGCAAGUGCUGCCAAGCAAAAGAGGAGAGGUCGGAAUCCCUGAUGGGGCAGCUGGGUGAGGCACAGGGCAGGACACUGUCAUUGAUGAGGGAGUGGAUGGACCUUCCAUCUCCAUUGUAAGGCAAACACCAAGAAUGAAAGCUACAGAUGCAAUCUGAGAUUUCAGAAGGCCUCUGGGAAGGAGCAAUUUUAUCUGCAUAGAAGGGGCAACCCAAACACAGGACAGGAAAACUACCCAGCUGAACAAGCUCCGAGUGCAUGCUUGUGUGUGUGCAAUGUGUGCUUCUACACACAUGCAUGUAUGAGAAGCAAGCUUCCAGGUGUGUUCUGGCAGGAUCUUCAAAAAGAAUUCAGUAAAUACCUGGGGAUAGAAAAAUAAAAACUGGGAUGUAUGUUAAUUUAUAGAUGUGAGCUUGUCUUAUGAGUUCUCAAAUGAAACUGUGUCAAGAACAGAAUGGAAUGAAUCUGUGGAGUGAGAGGACAGAUGGUGUCUGGCCCUGAUGCCGAGUCCCACUUUGUCUCCAGAAAUGCAUGUGUUAGAGACCUUUCCACUCUUGUGCUCUCUGGAACUGAAUUGCUGAAGUAAAUGAAGAACAUGAAGAACUAGAGUGUCAGGUGGCCAUCAGUUUCUAAGCCUGCAGCAACAUCCUGGCUGGGCAUCUCUGCAGGUCUGCAUCCAGAUUGUCCUCCACAGGAAGGAACCUCUUGAUGCCUCUGGACGUGUAACUUGAAGAGGCCCUGGACAAAGCUCUGCAUGGAAACUUCCGUGGUGUAGCUCUGUGUUCAAGGUGACCCUCGACUGGAUGUGCAGGUUCCUGAAGAAGAUACUGUCUUAGGAUUCAUCUGUCAAGGCUUUAAUUAAAUACAAUCACAAUGGUGAAUGUUUUUUUAAAAAAAAAAAAACUAAGCCCAGAAAAAUUAAAAAAUAAUUUGUGUGUCAUCCUUGA
Molecule: long non-coding RNA, 8742 nt
Organism: Cavia porcellus (domestic guinea pig)
Lineage: Eukaryota; Metazoa; Chordata; Mammalia; Rodentia; Caviidae
Exons: 3
Source: RefSeq, a predicted model, not a curated record